This 231-nucleotide ribosomal RNA is filed under the name uncultured bacterium. RNAcentral describes it as "partial 16S ribosomal RNA". It matches the Rfam family "Bacterial small subunit ribosomal RNA", at positions 99 to 334 of the family's 1533-position model. The record is from RNAcentral.
CGGACGGGUGAGUAAUACUUAGGAAUCUGCCCAGUAUGGGGGACAACACGAGGAAACUCGUGCUAAUACCGCAUACGCCCUAAGGGGGAAAGUGGAGGAUCUUCGGACUUCACGCUAUUGGAUGAGCCUAAGGCGGAUUAGCUUGUUGGUGAGGUAAAGGCUCACCAAGGCAACUAUCCGUAGCUGGUCUGAGAGGACAAUCAGCCACACUGGGACUGAGACACGGCCCAG